CGGACAGGUGAGUAAUGUCUGGGAAACUGCCCGAUGGAGGGGGAUAACUACUGGAAACGGUAGCUAAUACCGCAUAACGUCGCAAGACCAAAGAGGGGGACCUUCGGGCCUCUUGCCAUCGGAUGUGCCCAGAUGGGAUUAGCUAGUAGGUGGGGUAACGGCUCACCUAGGCGACGAUCCCUAGCUGGUCUGAGAGGAUGACCAGCCACACUGGAACUGAGACACGGUCCAG
RNAcentral lists this ribosomal RNA (232 nucleotides) under uncultured bacterium. RNAcentral's name for it is "partial 16S ribosomal RNA". It matches the Rfam family "Bacterial small subunit ribosomal RNA", at positions 99 to 334 of the family's 1533-position model. The record is from RNAcentral.